This 601-nucleotide ribosomal RNA is filed under the name Acinetobacter sp. ST12.14/362. RNAcentral describes it as "bacterial SSU rRNA". It matches the Rfam family "Bacterial small subunit ribosomal RNA", at positions 632 to 1233 of the family's 1533-position model. The record is from RNAcentral. Lineage: Bacteria; Pseudomonadati; Pseudomonadota; Gammaproteobacteria; Moraxellales; Moraxellaceae.
ACUGGGAAGCUAGAGUAUGGGAGAGGAUGGUAGAAUUCCAGGUGUAGCGGUGAAAUGCGUAGAGAUCUGGAGGAAUACCGAUGGCGAAGGCAGCCAUCUGGCCUAAUACUGACGCUGAGGUACGAAAGCAUGGGGAGCAAACAGGAUUAGAUACCCUGGUAGUCCAUGCCGUAAACGAUGUCUACUAGCCGUUGGGGCCUUUGAGGCUUUAGUGGCGCAGCUAACGCGAUAAGUAGACCGCCUGGGGAGUACGGUCGCAAGACUAAAACUCAAAUGAAUUGACGGGGGCCCGCACAAGCGGUGGAGCAUGUGGUUUAAUUCGAUGCAACGCGAAGAACCUUACCUGGUCUUGACAUAGUAAGAACUUUCCAGAGAUGGAUUGGUGCCUUCGGGAACUUACAUACAGGUGCUGCAUGGCUGUCGUCAGCUCGUGUCGUGAGAUGUUGGGUUAAGUCCCGCAACGAGCGCAACCCUUUUCCUUAUUUGCCAGCACUUCGGGUGGGAACUUUAAGGAUACUGCCAGUGACAAACUGGAGGAAGGCGGGGACGACGUCAAGUCAUCAUGGCCCUUACGACCAGGGCUACACACGUGCUACAAUGG